This 253-nucleotide ribosomal RNA is filed under the name uncultured prokaryote. Its description in RNAcentral is "partial 16S ribosomal RNA". It matches the Rfam family "Bacterial small subunit ribosomal RNA", at positions 525 to 777 of the family's 1533-position model. The record is from RNAcentral.
ACAGAGGGUGCGAGCGUUAAUCGGAAUUACUGGGCGUAAAGCGCGCGUAGGCGGCUUUGCAAGUCGGGUGUGAAAUCCCCAGGCUUAACCUGGGAACUGCAUUCGAGACUGCAUUGCUAGAGUAUGGGAGAGGGAAGUGGAAUUUCCGGUGUAGCGGUGAAAUGCGUAGAUAUCUGGAGGAACACCGGUGGCGAAGGCGGCAUCCUGGACCGGUAUUGACGCUGAGGCGCGAAAGCCAGGGGAGCAAACGGGA